GGCGCUAUGGUGUAGUGGCAGCACAUGGGAUUCUGAUUUGUGACAAGUACUAUGGGAUUUCCCACAACCCAGGUUCGACCCCUGGUAGUGCCU
Molecule: non-coding RNA, 93 nt
Organism: Armillaria mellea
Lineage: Eukaryota; Fungi; Basidiomycota; Agaricomycetes; Agaricales; Physalacriaceae
Source: the annotation of a GenBank genome assembly